Molecule: non-coding RNA, 3239 nt
Organism: Cyanistes caeruleus (blue tit)
Lineage: Eukaryota; Metazoa; Chordata; Aves; Passeriformes; Paridae
Source: RefSeq, a predicted model, not a curated record
AGGUGUUCUGCACUGUUUACAGUGAAAACAAGUAUAUUCAGAGGAUGGGAAAAACAGAUGGGGGUGAGGGUUUCCUUGCUUUCUCUCUUUUGGGAAUCAAGCUGAGAACUUGAAGAGUAAUCCAAUUAACUACACUCUUGAGACAUAAACUAGGGAAUAAGAGACAAGUACAGGCAGGUCCCAGCAGGACAGGAAGCCAAGAAGGUGUGAUGAGCACAUCAGAGGAUAGAACAGUAGAAGACUGCAAAGUUAAACACCACCACUUGUGGACCUUCUCUGCAUUGGGACCCUCUUCUUACAGACUGUACUCACAUAAAGCAUCUUCCUUCUUCUUUUUUGCUCCUUCUUGAAAAGAAACACACAUGCAUGGAUGCAAGGAGUCUGUAUGGAUGAACAUGAACAAGGGGCUCCUGACAAAACCCAAACACAAGAAUGUAGUUUAGCAGAGGUGGAAGCAAGAACAGGCAAUCUAGAGGAAUAAUAUAGAAAUAUUGUCUGAACGGAGAUGGAUAUUCUAAUAGUCUCAGCUUUAGUUAAGUCUUUAGACAUUAUCUCCCACAACAGUGUCAUAGGCAAGCUGAUGGAGUACAGACUAAACAAGUGUACAGCAAGGUGUACUGAGCAUUAGCUGAACUGUCAGUCUCACAGGGUUGGGAUCAGCAGCAUGGAGUCCAGCUGUGGGCCUGUCAACAGCAAUACAUCUCAGGAGUCACUGCUGGAGCCAGUGCUGUUCAACUUCUUCAUUACUGACCUGGAUGAGGGAAUGGGACCCUCAGCAAGUUCACAGAUGUUCCAAGAGUUAGAGUUGUUGAUACACCAUCACUCCUGGAUGACCUCAGUGGAUUGAAGAAAUAGUCAGGCAUGAACCGUAUCAAGUUCAACAAAGGGGAGAGCGAAGUCCUGUACCUGGGGAGAACCAACCCCAUGCACCAGCUCGUGCUGAGGGAUGACUUUGCAGAAAGCACCUGGGAGUCCUGAUGGACAAGGUGGUUGUAAGCCAGCAAUGUGCCCUUAUCAUAAAGGGCAAAAGCAUCUUGGACAGCACUGGAAAUAGCACUGCCAGCAGAAUGAGCGGGGUCUUCUUUACCUCAUGGGAUCAGACUUGCUGAAAGAAAAUCACACAUGACAUAAUUUGCACUUUCUAUUUCCCCUCAGGAACUUUAUUGGAAUUGUGACAAGGUGGAAGUACUGCCCUCUAGUUUUUCAGUCAUCUCCUCUGUCCUUCAUGGUCAUGAGUCUUCAGUAGGCAGACGCUGGAGGUGAUACAGAUGAUGCAGAAGUGAGAGUCCCCAGAAGAACAGUAUGACUCUCCACUGCAAAUGAGUUGUGUUUUACCAGAUAUGAAAGUUCAGUGAUCAUCAAGAUCAUUUCUGCCUUUUCUUCAGUAUGGCUUGGCAGUGCCUUCUCAUGUUUUCUUUCCUGCUUUGCUUUCAACAUUCAAAAACUGAAGAAGUUAGAGAACUGUAGCACUUUUCUUCUGUGCCCUAAAAUAAAAUAUUAACCUCAAAGAAUACUUGAGGAAUGUUCAGCUCUAAGGAGGCUUAGAUUAGAUGUUCUGCUAUUUUUUAUUUAUAGCAUAUGUUCCUAGUGGCUGGAGAUUCCCUUUUGAAAAAUAAAAUGAGGACAUGGAAAGAUUUUCUCACCACAGGUAUUGCACUUAUUCCCUCCCAUAAAUGCAAACUUGUGAACCUGCUGUGAGCUUCUUUAUUCUAAAUAUUUAUAUUUGCAGACUAAAAUGACAGGUAGUAGAAUAAAUUUUAGCAUCCCAAUGAUUUUUUUUCUGGAUUUGUUGCUGCUCCUCUGGAAUAUGGCAGAGCCACCAAUAUUCUUGUAGUGUACAGAGCUGUUUGAGUAUUUAAUUUUAUACUGGAACAUACAGGUUUGCAUUUCAGGUGCUACUUUUUAUGACUAUUGCAUACAAUAGCCAAUGCAGAAUAGAAAUUACAAAAUUCUGCCAAAAAAACCCCCAAAAAAGGCAAGAAGCUGGCAGAAUAAAUUCAAGACAAAUUUAUCUCUUCUAAGAAGCAAAAAGCACCAUUUACCCUAAAAACCACUCUGAUAUUGUUGUGUAUGCUGAUAAGAAGUUGCUGAGUUUUAAAUAAACAGAAUUCAACCAUUUACAUAGGCAGACCUUCAGGUGCAAGCUUCAUUUUGCCACAAGAUGAAUUAACACAGAGACUGGGCAUUAGAAAAUCUCAAAAAAGUUAUGAGAUCAUCAAGUUCAGUUGGUAAGAAAUACUACACCAAAAAUGGCAUUUUUUCUUUUCUUCAUCUUCCUUUUUCAUCUACUGAAAAACGCUUUUUCCUUGGGAUCGCCUCUGUUACCUGAUGGUAUUGUCGAUGUUACCAGCAUAAACACCCCCUUUGUUUUUUUUAAUUUCAAGAUGAAAAAGUAGUCUGUCCUGAAAAAGAGGCUUAAAUUCACCACUAACCUAUCUACUAGCACUAGAUCCUGAGCUAUCAUCCUUACUAUAGUAAAGAAAGAGGGUGGGUUGCUGUCAGUUGGAGUGAGUACACAAAAUUAGGUGCUCUCACCAAAAAAGAUAUUAAAAUCUUUGCCUAAGAAACACUUGGCUCAUAGGAAGAAUUCUUAACUCUCAUACCAAGACCUAUAGUCAUGAAGGUUUUUAAGCAAGUGGUACUACCAUAAAAUUCUUUGCUGUCCCCUUCUUUCAUAGAUAGCUUCAUAAAUACUACAUUUAAUUUUUUUCUUUUUAAUUUUAAAUGUACAUUUGAAAAUGGUAAUGAAUCAGCAUGCUGUAUUUUCCUUCUCGUGCAUGAAAAUGUCCAUGACUCUGUGGAAAUUCAGAUAAUACAAGUCACAGAAAACUUGUUAUUAAGAAAUUAGUCAGAAACAUAGGAAAAAGUCUUUCAGAAAAAGACUGAUACUCCUCUGUCUGAAUUCUUCCCUCUCCAAAAAAUAUGACAUACUCAAAUGCUCAUUAACAGAAAAGAAAGACUAUACUGACCAAAGUAGGAACAGAGGUGGAAGCAAGAUCUCACUGAAACAUAUUUGCAUUUGAAACUCUUGAUGAUGACUGAGAUUUAUGCAUCUAAAUUACAAUUAAAUAAUGUUAAGGUUGUGAGUAACUCACAAGAGCAAAGAAAUGUGCAAUUAAAGGGAAAAUAUACCAUAUGUCCUUUGAUAUCUAGGCAUAUUGCAGUGCAUUAAGGAAGUCAUAAAAGAGACACCCUGUUGUGGUUAUGUGUUCUGAGACAUGUGGCACAUUUCCAUUGUA